ACCCUCUAGAUUUCCUUCCCCAUCAGAUCUAAACGUUGGUCUGAGUGCCGACACAAGAAGGAUAAACAAAAGUGACAUAGACUUGGAUUCUUUUGUGACAUACAUUUCAAACAAUA
RNAcentral lists this small nucleolar RNA (116 nucleotides) under Echinops telfairi (small Madagascar hedgehog). RNAcentral describes it as "Small nucleolar RNA SNORA61 (ENSETEG00000026362.1)". The record is from RNAcentral. Lineage: Eukaryota; Metazoa; Chordata; Mammalia; Afrosoricida; Tenrecidae.